RNAcentral lists this ribosomal RNA (124 nucleotides) under uncultured bacterium. Its description in RNAcentral is "partial 16S ribosomal RNA". The record is from RNAcentral.
AGCCGGGGCUUCUUCUACGGCUACAGUCAUCAUCGUCACCGUUGAAAGAGCUUUACAACCCUAGGGCCUUCUUCACUCACGCGGCAUGGCUGGAUCAGGUUGCCCCCAUUGUCCAAUAUUCCCC